Molecule: ribosomal RNA, 27 nt
Filed under: Ilyonectria destructans
Lineage: Eukaryota; Fungi; Ascomycota; Sordariomycetes; Hypocreales; Nectriaceae
Also listed under: 4 other names
Description: partial small subunit ribosomal RNA
Source: RNAcentral
CGUUGGUGACCAGCGGAGGGAUCAUUA